CGGGUGAGUAAUGUAUGGGGAUCUGCCUGAUGGCGGGGGAUAACUACUGGAAACGGUAGCUAAUACCGCAUAAUGUCUGCGGACCAAAGCGGGGGACCUCCGGGCCUCUUGCCAUCGGAUGUGCCCAGAUGGGAUUAGCUAGUAGGUAAGGUAACGGCUUACCUAGGCGACGAUCCCUAGCUGGUCUGAGAGGAUGAUCAGCCACACUGGGACUGAGACACGGUCCAG
Molecule: ribosomal RNA, 228 nt
Filed under: uncultured bacterium
Lineage: Bacteria
Description: partial 16S ribosomal RNA
Rfam family: Bacterial small subunit ribosomal RNA
Source: RNAcentral